RNAcentral lists this transfer RNA (57 nucleotides) under Tetranychus ludeni (bean spider mite). RNAcentral describes it as "tRNA-Asp". Lineage: Eukaryota; Metazoa; Arthropoda; Arachnida; Trombidiformes; Tetranychidae. The record is from RNAcentral.
AAAAAGAUAAUUUUGUUUAAAUUGUCAAUUUAUAUUUUCUUUAAAAGUUUAUCUUAA